RNAcentral lists this ribosomal RNA (253 nucleotides) under uncultured bacterium. RNAcentral's name for it is "partial 16S ribosomal RNA". It matches the Rfam family "Bacterial small subunit ribosomal RNA", at positions 524 to 776 of the family's 1533-position model. The record is from RNAcentral.
UACGUAGGGUGCAAGCGUUAAUCGGAAUUACUGGGCGUAAAGCGUGCGCAGGCGGUUAUGUAAGUCAGAUGUGAAAUCCCCGGGCUCAACCUGGGAACUGCAUUUGUGACUGCAUCGCUGGAGUGCGGCAGAGGGGGAUGGAAUUCCGCGUGUAGCAGUGAAAUGCGUAGAUAUGCGGAGGAACACCGAUGGCGAAGGCAAUCCCCUGGGCAUGCACUGACGCUCAUGCACGAAAGCGUGGGGAGCAAACAGG